GUGGAAAACAAAAACAAAACAGGAUUAGGAUUAAAUUAAUCCUGCUCCCUGCACAUAUAAGAUUUAAUGAAUAAAACAUUGCACAUAUUAGAUUACAUUUUAAAUUACAUCAAAUUUAACGUAUAAAAUCACAUUUUACAUAUAAAAUAAAAAUGUACGUAUGAGAGUAAAAUUGUAAACAUGGUUUGUGUCCUCUUCCUCUCUUCCUGUCUUCUUGUCUUCCUCUAUUCCUGUAUCUUCCUGUCUCUUCCUCUCUUCCUCUCUUCCUCUCUUCUUGUCUUCCUCUCUUCCUCUCUUCCUCUCUUCCUCUCUUCUUGUUUUCCUCUCUUCCUCUCUUCCUGUAUCUUCCUGUCUAUUCCUGUCUCUUCCUCUCUUCUUGUCUUCCUCUCUUCCUCUCUUCCUCUCUUCCUGUAUCUUCCUGUCUAUUCCUGUCUCUUCCUCUCUUCCUCUCUUCUUGUUUUCCUCUCUUCCUCUCUUCCUGUCUCUUCCUGUCUCUUCCUCUCUUCUUGUCUUCCUCUCUUCCUCUCUUCCUCUCUUCCUGUAUCUUCCUGUCUAUUCCUGUCUCUUCCUCUCUUCCUCUCUUCUUGUCUUCCUCUCUUCCUCUAUCUUCCUGUCUCUUCCUGUCUAUUCCUGUCUCUUCCUCUCUUCCUCUCUUCUUGUUUCCUCUCUUCCUGUAUCUUCCUGUCUCUUCCUCUCUCUGUUUCCUCUCUUCCUCUCUUCCUGUCUCUUCCUGUCUCUUCCUCUCUUCCUAUCUUCUGUCUCUUCUCUUCUAUCUCUUCCUGUCUCUUCAUGUCUUCCUGUCUCUUCCUCUCUUCCUAUCUCUUCCUGUCUCUUCAUGUCUUCCUGUCUCUUCCUGUCUCUUCCUCUCUUCCUGUCUCUUCCUCUCUUCCUGUCUCUUCCUCUCUUCCUCUCUUCCUAUCUCUUCCUGUCUCUUCCUCUCUUCCUGUCUCUUCCUCUCUUCCUGUCUCUUCCUCUCUUCCUGUCUCUUCCUCUCUUCCUCUAUUCCUGUCUCUUCCUCUCUUCCUAUCUCUUCCUGUCUCUUCAUGUCUUCCUGUCUCUUCAUGUCUUCCUGUCUCUUCCUCUCUCUUCCUGUCUCUUCAUGUCUUCCUGUCUCUUCCUGUCUCUUCCUGUCUCUUCCUCUCUCUUCCUGUCUCUUCAUGUCUUCCUGUCUCUUCCUCUCUCUUCCUGUCUCUUCAUGUCUUCCUGUCUCUUCCUCUCUCUCUUCCUGUCUCUUCAUGUCUUCCUGUCUCUUCCUCUCUUC
This 1261-nucleotide long non-coding RNA is filed under the name Cottoperca gobio. Its description in RNAcentral is "lncRNA (ENSCGOG00000016635.1)". Lineage: Eukaryota; Metazoa; Chordata; Actinopteri; Perciformes; Bovichtidae. The record is from RNAcentral.